GUUGAACGCUGGCGGCAUGCCUUACACAUGCAAGUCGAACGGCAGCACGGGAGCAAUCCUGGUGGCGAGUGGCGAACGGGUGAGUAAAGUAUCGGAACGUGCCCAGUCGUGGGGGAUAACGUAGCGAAAGUUACGCUAAUACCGCAUACGAUCUACGGAUGAAAGCGGGGGAUCGCAAGACCUCGCGCGAUCGGAGCGGCCGAUAUCAGAUUAGGUAGUUGGUGGGGUAAAGGCUCACCAAGCCGACGAUCUGUAGCUGGUCGGAGAGGACGACCAGCCACACUGGGACUGAGACACGGCCCAGACUCCUACGGGAGGCAGCAGUGGGGAAUUUUGGACAAUGGGCGAAAGCCUGAUCCAGCCAUGCCGCGUGCAGGAUGAAGGCCUUCGGGUUGUAAAUUGCUUUUGUACGGAACGAAAAGGUUUGGCCUAAUAAGCUGAGCUCAUGACGGUACCGUAAGAAUAAGCACCGGCUAACUACGUGCCAGCCGCCGCCGUAA
This 500-nucleotide ribosomal RNA is filed under the name uncultured bacterium. RNAcentral's name for it is "partial 16S ribosomal RNA". It matches the Rfam family "Bacterial small subunit ribosomal RNA", at positions 28 to 523 of the family's 1533-position model. The record is from RNAcentral.